RNAcentral lists this transfer RNA (74 nucleotides) under Pseudomonadota bacterium. RNAcentral describes it as "tRNA-Gln". It matches the Rfam family "tRNA". Rfam says of the family: Transfer RNA (tRNA) molecules are approximately 80 nucleotides in length. Their secondary structure includes four short double-helical elements and three loops (D, anti-codon, and T loops). Further hydrogen bonds mediate the characteristic L-shaped molecular structure. tRNAs have two regions of fundamental functional importance: the anti-codon, which is responsible for specific mRNA codon recognition, and the 3' end, to which the tRNAs corresponding amino acid is attached (by aminoacyl-tRNA synthetases). tRNAs cope with the degeneracy of the genetic code in two manners: having more than one tRNA (with a specific anti-codon) for a particular amino acid; and 'wobble' base-pairing, i.e. permitting non-standard base-pairing at the 3rd anti-codon position. RNAcentral also lists the same sequence under 2 other names. The record is from RNAcentral. Lineage: Bacteria; Pseudomonadati; Pseudomonadota.
UGGGGGGUCGUCCAACGGUAGGACAUCGGACUUUGGAUCCGGGAAUCCGGGUUCGAAUCCCGGCCCCCCAGCCA